UUCGGACUGGAGUCUGCAACCCGACUCCACGAAGUUGGAUUCGCUAGUAAUCGCGCAUCAGCCAUGGCGCGGUGAAUACGUUCCCGGGCCUUGUACACACCGCCCGUCAAGCCAUGGGAGCCGGGGGCGCCUGAAGUCCGGGACCGCGAGGACCGGCCUAGGGCGAAACUGGUGACUGGGGCUAAGUCGUAACAAGGUAAC
This 201-nucleotide ribosomal RNA is filed under the name uncultured bacterium. RNAcentral describes it as "partial 16S ribosomal RNA". It matches the Rfam family "Bacterial small subunit ribosomal RNA", at positions 1292 to 1500 of the family's 1533-position model. The record is from RNAcentral.